UACGUAGGUGACAGGCGUUGUCCGGAUUUACUGGGCGUAAAGAGCGCGCAGGCGGUCGUUCAAGUCGAGUGUGAAAGCCCCCGGCUCAACUGGGGAGGGUCAUUCGAUACUGAUCGACUCGAAGGCAGGAGAGGGAAGUGGAAUUCCCGGUGUAGUGGUGAAAUGCGUAGAUAUCGGGAGGAACACCAGUGGCGAAGGCGACUUCCUGGCCUGUUCUUGACGCUGAGGCGCGAAAGCUAGGGGAGCAAACGGG
This 253-nucleotide ribosomal RNA is filed under the name uncultured bacterium. RNAcentral describes it as "partial 16S ribosomal RNA". It matches the Rfam family "Bacterial small subunit ribosomal RNA", at positions 524 to 776 of the family's 1533-position model. The record is from RNAcentral.